UUGACCUCAAAUCGGGUGAGACUACCCGCUGAACUUAAGCAUAUCAAUAG
This 50-nucleotide ribosomal RNA is filed under the name Lactifluus volemus. RNAcentral describes it as "Lactarius volemus partial 28S ribosomal RNA". RNAcentral also lists the same sequence under 1 other name. Lineage: Eukaryota; Fungi; Basidiomycota; Agaricomycetes; Russulales; Russulaceae. The record is from RNAcentral.